UAAAACUUCAGUCAUUGCCCUGCCCCUCUACCUGCAGGUGACACUUAACUAACAAGCCAGCCUUGGUAUCCGAAUCUACAGAGCUUUGAGACUUAAAAAUGGCGGACCGCACGUACGUAAUCAAACUCUCCGAGUUUUCUGUGUUGUUGUUACGGCCAAUACGAAGCUCGACGAGCUCCGAUUCCUGUCCGAUCCAAUCCUCAACACAUUCUCCAACAACUCUUCUUCUCUUCUCUAAUGAAGGAGGUUGAGAGUUUUGGGAGCUUUUAUAUUUGUGUCGAGAAAGGAUGUUUUCUCUUGUUGUUUUGAGUUAGUUGGGCAAGCCCCAACAUUGCUUCCGGAUGACAGAGGCAAAGCUAUUGCUAUAAUGAGUAAAGCACUUGAACAUUUACUUAAGAAAGCUCAUGAGGAUGGUGUUGUUGCUGGAGUCAUUGGUAUUGGAGGCAGUGGAGGGACAUCUCUUAUAUCAUCUGCCUUAAGAAUUCUUCUGAUUGGAGUGCCUAAGGUCAUUGUGUCAACAGUAGCCAGCGGUCAAACCUUAUGUUGGGACAUCAGAUCAGAUUUGAUAUUUGUUUCCAUCGAUAGUUGAUAUCUGUGGGGUUAAUAGUGUAAGUGGGGUUGUGUUCUCAAAUGCUGGAGCUGCUUUUGCUGUAAUGGUGAUUGGAAGGCUUGAGAGAUCCAGAGAUUUUUCUAGCGUCAAUGAAAAAUCUACAGUUGGUUUAACAAUGUUUGGGGUUACAACUCCAUUUGUAAAUGAUGUCCAAGAAAGAUUGUAUAAAGAAGGUUAUGACUUAUGAGACCUUGGUUUUUCAUGCCACUGGGGUGGGGGGAAGGGUUAUGGAGUCUUUUGUUAGAGAGGGAUUUACAGGCAGUUCUCUUUAUACAAUCCAUUUGAACCUUCUUGUAUGUUUGGUAGUUAAGAAAUGUGAACCAAAAGUUUUUCUUAGGUUGUUUUUCGACCAUAAAUUUCUAUAUUGAAUUGAUGAUGUUAACAUCAUCAAUUUUAGGGGACUUCCAACUUGUCUUCAAAUAACUAGUUGAAAAGACAUCUGCUUAAGCUAGAGAUAGGUACUUAUGUUUGUUAUUUGAAUGUUUCUUGAGUUAAUGUUGGUACUUUAGAGCCAAUGUUAAAUUUUCAAACUUACAUUUGUGUCAUAUCAUGUUAUAAUGGCAUGCAUCUAAUAAGAAAUCUUUAAUUGACUCGCUUUGCAUGUAUAGAAUAUUUUCUGAUUCAUAUAUCUUUCUUUUAUUCAGUCUGUCAAGGUGUUCGUUAUGGGUUGAGUUGGUGGAGCCAGAUUAUUUAAUCCUUAUAAUUUCUCUGUGAUUUAAUUUAAUUUUUUUAAUCCUUUUCCCCCCUGCUUGGUGAUGGCUUCUUCCUUUUAUAUAUUUACUUUCUUUCCUGUUCAUUUUACUUAGGGAGUUUUGGACAUCACAACAACAGAGGUCGCAGACUAUUUAGUUGGAGGUACCAUGGCUUGUGAAGAUUCCUGCUUUGAUGCCAUUAUAGAGAAGAGGAUCCCAUUAGUCCUAACCGUUGGAGCGUUAGACAUGGUCAACUUUGGAGCUAAAGAUACCAUACCUUCUAAGUUUCAGCAAAGAAAGAUUCAUGAGCAUAAUAAGCAGGUUUCACUGAUGCGAACUACGCCAGAUGAGAAUAAAGGAUUUGCUGAGUUUAUAGCAAACAAACUAAACAAGUCAUCAUCAAAGAUCUGUAUUUGCCUGCCACAAAAGGAUAUCUCUGCGCUGGAUGUGCAAGGGAUGCCCUUUUAUGAUCUCUAGGCUACUACUAGUCUUAUAAAUGAACCACAAAGACUUAUUCAGACAAAUGAAGAUUGACAGGAUCAUUAUUGCUCAUUUACUAGAGCGUGUCUGAUAGGAGCUAAAGCUGCUGAAGUCAGUCAUGCUGAGCUAGAGUUAGUUAUGCUGAGCUGGAGUUAUUCUGUUAUCAUUGUUACAGGUAGUUGGUAUAACUAAUUAGCAGUUAGUCAGUAGCUUCAGUGUAAUGGAAUUGGCAUUGUAAAGCCUAUAAAGGGGACUAUAUGAAUUGUAAAGAAUCAUUCAGAAUAUUAAUGCAGAGCUUCUCUCUAUUCACUUGUCUCUCUCUCUCUCUCUCUCUCUUUCUCGUCUGCAAUUUCCUUAGGAGGCCUAGUUCCUUUGAAGAACUACUCAACUUUCUCUCUAUUUUUCUUGAAAUGAAUUGUCUCUAUCAAGUGGUAUCAGAGCCUAGUUUUGUCACAAUGACAGAAACUUGAUCCUUGUCUACUCUUACUGAAGAGGUGAAUGCACAUUUAAAGACAACUAAGUUCCAUCAAGAUGAGAUGCAUGAGAUUCAUCAAAAGUUGGAUGCAGUGACUAGUGUGCUGCAAACCUUAUCCGAGAUUGUGCAAAAUUUUAUAGAAGUUGGGCAUCGUUGGCAGCAGAGACUUUCAUUUCCAGGUGGCUCAAAUCAACAAGAAUCAGUUUUGACUGUUAUUCCAAGAGCUGUAAGGCUGGAGUUCCCUCAAUUCAAGGGGGAGAAUCCAUUGAGGUGGGUUUAUAAGGUUCACCAAUUUUUUCCAAUUAUACAAUACUCCACCUAACUAGAAAAUUUUGUUGGCCUCAUAUCAUAUGGAAGAUAAAGCUCUGGUAUGGUUUCAGGAUGUUGAGGAAUCUGGGCAGUUCAUGAGUUGGGAAGCAUUUGUGAGAGCCUUACAUGUUAGGUUUGGUGCACCAGCCUAUGAUGACCCUCUAACUAGGCUAAGACAAGUGAGUUCAGUAGCUAUCUACGAUGGCCAAUUUUAGGCAUUGUCUAAUCGAAUCAAUGAAAUCUCUGAGAAGCACAAGCUGAGUUGUUUUCUGAGUGGGUUGAAGGAUGAAAUAAGGUUGCCAGUGAGAAUGUUGAAUCCUCAGAAUCUGAACACAGCAUUUGGACUUGCAAAAAUCCAGGAAGAAUACCUUCCAGCUAGUAAGAAGAUAAGGCCAUGGAAUGAUAAUCAGAAGGGAUUAAUUUUUGGUC
This is an RNA transcript of Quercus lobata, 2995 nucleotides long. It is a transcript of the gene named UPF0261 protein Spro_4740-like, with no coding region annotated. The record is from RefSeq and is a predicted model, not a curated record. NCBI's taxonomy places the organism in Eukaryota, Viridiplantae, Streptophyta, Magnoliopsida, Fagales, Fagaceae. The transcript has 3 exons.